Molecule: ribosomal RNA, 253 nt
Filed under: uncultured bacterium
Lineage: Bacteria
Description: partial 16S ribosomal RNA
Rfam family: Bacterial small subunit ribosomal RNA
Source: RNAcentral
UACGUAGGGUGCAAGCGUUGUCCGGAAUUAUUGGGCGUAAAGAGCUCGUAGGCGGUCUGUUGCGUCGGCUGUGAAAACCCGAGGCUCAACCUCGGGCCUGCAGCCGAUACGGGCAGACUAGAGUUCGGCAGGGGAGACUGGAAUUCCUGGUGUAGCGGUGAAAUGCGCAGAUAUCAGGAGGAACACCGGUGGCGAAGGCGGGUCUCUGGGCAAUAACUGACGCUGAGGAGCGAAAGCGUGGGGAGCGAACAGG